This 277-nucleotide ribosomal RNA is filed under the name uncultured bacterium. Its description in RNAcentral is "partial 16S ribosomal RNA". It matches the Rfam family "Bacterial small subunit ribosomal RNA", at positions 32 to 299 of the family's 1533-position model. The record is from RNAcentral.
AAUCAACGCUGGCGGCGUGCCUCAGACAUGCAAGUCGAACGAUUAAACUUCCCUUCGGGGAAGAUAUAAAGUGGCGCACGGGUGAGUAACACGUAAGUAAUCUGCCCUCGAGUGGGGAAUAACAACCGGAAACGGUUGCUAAUACCGCAUAAUGCAGCGGCACCUAAUGGUGACAGUUGUUAAAGGAGCAAUCCGCUUGAGGAGGAGCUUGCGGCAGAUUAGCUAGUUGGUAAGGUAAUGGCUUACCAAGGCUACGAUCUGUAACCGGUCUAAGAGG